Molecule: ribosomal RNA, 305 nt
Filed under: uncultured bacterium
Lineage: Bacteria
Description: partial 16S ribosomal RNA
Rfam family: Bacterial small subunit ribosomal RNA
Source: RNAcentral
ACAGCAGCCGCCGCGGUAAUACGUAGGGUGCAAGCGUUAAUCGGAAUUACUGGGCGUAAAGCGUGCGCAGGCGGUUAUAUAAGACAGAUGUGAAAUCCCCGGGCUCAACCUGGGAACUGCAUUUGUGACUGUAUAGCUAGAGUACGGCAGAGGGGGAUGGAAUUCCGCGUGUAGCAGUGAAAUGCGUAGAUAUGCGGAGGAACACCGAUGGCGAAGGCAAUCCCCUGGGCCUGUACUGACGCUCAUGCACGAAAGCGUGGGGAGCAAACAGGAUUAGAUACCCGGGUAGUCCCUGUCUCUUAUAC